AUAACAAAAUUUACGUCGUCUUCUCUUCUCUUCAUAGUAU
Molecule: small RNA, 40 nt
Filed under: Arabidopsis thaliana (thale cress)
Lineage: Eukaryota; Viridiplantae; Streptophyta; Magnoliopsida; Brassicales; Brassicaceae
Description: ATSL022990
Source: RNAcentral